This 497-nucleotide ribosomal RNA is filed under the name uncultured bacterium. RNAcentral describes it as "partial 16S ribosomal RNA". It matches the Rfam family "Bacterial small subunit ribosomal RNA", at positions 28 to 507 of the family's 1533-position model. The record is from RNAcentral.
GAUGAACGCUGGCGGCGUGCCUAAUACAUGCAAGUCGAGCGAACGGACGAGAAGCUUGCUUCUCUGAUGUUAGCGGCGGACGGGUGAGUAACACGUGGAUAACCUACCUAUAAGACUGGGAUAACUUCGGGAAACCGGAGCUAAUACCGGAUAAUAUUUUGAACCGCAUGGUUCAAAAGUGAAAGACGGUCUUGCUGUCACUUAUAGAUGGAUCCGCGCUGCAUUAGCUAGUUGGUAAGGUAACGGCUUACCAAGGCAACGAUGCAUAGCCGACCUGAGAGGGUGAUCGGCCACACUGGAACUGAGACACGGUCCAGACUCCUACGGGAGGCAGCAGUAGGGAAUCUUCCGCAAUGGGCGAAAGCCUGACGGAGCAACGCCGCGUGAGUGAUGAAGGUCUUCGGAUCGUAAAACUCUGUUAGUAGGGAAGAACAUAUGUGUAAGUAACUGUGCACAUCUUGACGGUACCUAAUCAGAAGGCCACGGCUAACUACGUG